RNAcentral lists this ribosomal RNA (492 nucleotides) under uncultured bacterium. RNAcentral describes it as "partial 16S ribosomal RNA". It matches the Rfam family "Bacterial small subunit ribosomal RNA", at positions 29 to 507 of the family's 1533-position model. The record is from RNAcentral.
AGUGAACGCUGGCGGUAGGCCUAACACAUGCAAGUCGAACGGCAGCACAGUAAGAGCUUGCUCUUACGGGUGGCGAGUGGCGGACGGGUGAGGAAUACAUCGGAAUCUACUUUUUCGUGGGGGAUAACGUAGGGAAACUUACGCUAAUACCGCAUACGACCUACGGGUGAAAGCAGGGGAUCUUCGGACCCUGCGCGAUUGAAUGAGCCGAUGUCGGAUUAGCUAGUUGGCGGGGUAAAGGCCCACCAAGGCGACGAUCCGUAGCUGGUCUGAGAGGAUGAUCAGCCACACUGGAACUGAGACACGGUCCAGACUCCUACGGGAGGCGGCAGUGGGGAAUAUUGGACAAUGGGCGCAAGCCUGAUCCAGCCAUACCGCGUGGGUGAAGAAGGCCUUCGGGUUGUAAAGCCCUUUUGUUGGGAAAGAAGAGCAGCAGGUUAAUACCCCGCUGUUCUGACGGUACCCAAAGAAUAAGCACCGGCUAACUUCGUG